GGAGCCUGCUUCUGAGAGCAGAGGAACUGAAAGCUCACUGGCAGGACAAAUACAUGAUUGCGACCAAGCUGGAGUGAAUACCUCUGGAGACAUGGUGAUCUCACCUGGAGAAGCCUUCAGGCUGAACUGUACUUUCAUAUGUUUAAAAAACAGCCACGUUGCACAGCUGUGGAAGAACAACGAGUCUCUUGUCAACAUUUCCUCUGCAUUACCCAAUGUGACCCUGGUCCUGAAUGUCCAGUCUUUUACAAAGGCACACACUGGACAAUACCAAUGCAAGACCUACCCACCCCAUACCAUUAGUCCUGCUUUUAGUAUUCAAAUAGCAAAUAACUUCACAGGAAAACCACCUUCCUUGACCAUCAGCAGCCCAAAGUGUAACUGCACCCAGCAGACCCACAAUGCAGCAGGUCUGAAGGGUCAGCUGUGGUUCUGGGUGCUUCUGGGAAAAACUACCAUCCUGCUCCUGAGCCUGGCCUCGCUGGCUGUAAAACACAAGACAGAAUGAGAUCAGACGGACACCCAUAUCUCCUCUCAGCAUUGCUUUGUUUGUAUUAUUCAGUUUUAAGAUGUAGCCUCUUUUAUUCUGUCUUCUUUUAAAUUUAAGCUCUGCAUUAUUUAGUCCGCAAUUAACACGCAUGCACACACACAUUUGACUAAAUACCCACUGCAAGGAACAAUCAGUUUAUACUGGGGCUCACUCAUUUGCAGUAAAUUUGUUUAUUUGUGGUGUCUGAUUUGCUGAAGCUUUGCUCUUUAAAUUAACACCAGGAUCCAUGAUUUUGCUAAUUAUUUUCAUCAUGAUUUGCUUAAAAUAAUGAAAACAUGACAAAGGUGUUUUUAAAACAACUCGAGACAUUAAAACAGUAAAUAAUUCCCUUAUUAACUCUCCAAUAGUUUGCUCUGAGGCUGCAUAACCAACACCAGAUUAUGUCGACUCCUUGAGUGGAUGGACGGGAACAUGAUAGUAUUCCUCAGUAUUAUUGUCUGCACAUAGAGAGGGCUAGAUGAACAUGGGGCACUGGUUUAGGUCACUGUUGUGAUCUACAUCCUGAAAGGUUAAUGAUGCAGAGGCCCUGAGCUGCUCGCUGCUCCUCUUUGUCCCAGCUUUCUUCUGUUCUCUUCACUGUCAUGCUGCUAAAUAAAUGCAACAAAU
Molecule: long non-coding RNA, 1156 nt
Organism: Astatotilapia calliptera (eastern happy)
Lineage: Eukaryota; Metazoa; Chordata; Actinopteri; Cichliformes; Cichlidae
Source: Ensembl